RNAcentral lists this unclassified non-coding RNA (155 nucleotides) under uncultured Helotiales. Its description in RNAcentral is "sequence contains ITS1". The record is from RNAcentral. Lineage: Eukaryota; Fungi; Ascomycota; Leotiomycetes; Helotiales.
CCUGAUAGAAGCCCUCACGGGCCCUAUCCCACCCGUGUCUACAUACCUUUGUUGCUUUGGCGGGCCGUGGCUUCCACUGUGGGCUCUGCUCGCAAGUGCCCGCCAGAGGACCAAACUCUGAAAUUUAGUGAUGUCUGAGAACUAUUAAAUAGUAA